CCCCCCUAACCCCUUACACCUUUUCCUCCUAAAAAACCUAGCGCCGCCUGCCUUUUCUCUUUCUCUCUCUUCAUCAUCGACGCCUGAAAUGGCAAAUUCUCAAAAGACAACAACCUUGUACAGGCUUUGCAAGGCCGAGAAAGGUAAAGCAGUAAAUGUUUCCGCCAUUUCUCACCUAAUCCAACCACAAAAACAGUAUAACCCUCUCCCUCUCUCUUUUCUUUUGCUUAAACGGUCAAAACUCCAUAAAAAUUUAAUUAUUUUUGUUUGCAUUUGUUUGAAAUCGGGUAAUUAGUUCAUGAGAAACCAAAGGGAUUGACCCAAUUUUAGGUCGAUCUCGACCCUUGAUGUGUUUUGAGAGUGAAUCUUGACCUUUGAAUGUUGAAGCAAGGCUGAUUCUCAAAGAUUUGUGAAAGUCCCACAUCGGUUUGGGAUUUAAUUAUAGGUUUUUUGGGUUCUAUAUAAAGAACCCCCAAUCCUUCAUUUUGAAGACACCGAAUAUCAAAAUAUAUUCAAAAAACUCGAAAUUCCUAAGUUUUUUUUAGCACUUUGCUUCAAAACUUUAAUAGUUUGAGUUAAGUUUAAUUUUAAAGUAUUUUUGUUCUUGUGUGGGUUUGUGGCUAAGUAUUGGAAUUAAGGAGGCAAAAAGGGUUCUUCCAAGUUCAAUCUCGAUCUACGGCUGCGCAUAGAAGAGGUAAAAUUCCCUUCCUUUCUAUUUAGUUUAGUUUUGUUUUAGUUUGUUUUGCCAUGCUUGUUUGUUGCUGCUUUGUUUUUCUUUAGCUCAGCAUAAUUAGGUUGUGAUUACUGUUAGCAGUUAGUUUAAUAUGCUUUAAUAUGUUUUACUGUUAGUCCUGCCCUGGUUAGAGUUUAAUAUGAUUUAAUAGCUUGUAAGUUAAUUGCUUGUAGUAAGCAUGAUAAAUGGCUGUGUUUUGUUUUAGUUACAAUAUGAUUAAGGAUUAGUUAUGGCAAUUUCUUAGUUGUAGAGUAUGAUUGGAAGAUUAAUGUUAGUCUGCCUUGAUAACUCAGUUAAGAUUGUUAAUAUUGUGAGCAUGAUUAGGAUAAAAACAUGUUGAUGAAAUCUGAUACUUAAGAUUAAAAAUAACUGUUAGUAAGCUUGGUUAAAGAGUUUUAGCAUCUCAACUUAGUCAAAGUUAUCACUGAACACCUACUUUGAGUGACUUGUCCUUUUUGUCUGAUUAAGUGGUCAUUAUAUAGUUAAAAGGACAAUUGUUGAUUUCUGUUAGCAUGUUUAACCCCUAAAUGAUGAUUUAUGGAUAUGUUUAAGUAUGUAUUAGGACUGAUUCCAUGUUAAUAUGGUUAACUACCAAAAUGAUUAUCUUGAGAUAUCUUGAAAUGCUGUCUAUAUGUCUUUAACUUGCAUUAGGUUUGUUUGAACUUACCUAGACUUGAACUAUGCUGAUUAAGACUAAAAAGUGAUAUUUGACCUGAUUCAAUAAGUGAACAACACCAUCUGUAUGCUCCCCUUUAUGACCCUCCCAUGUUAAGAAACAAGUGAAAUGCAUGUAUACUUGCAUGAUGAAUCCUGUAUAUGUGUUAUACCUGCAACAAUAUUCUAAUUUAUGUGGAUUUUUGGGUCUGUAUGCACUAUGUAUGUUGAUUAGUUCAUCUUUUUUUACCCCUUUACUUGGUCUCUUUGUGAUGCUGUUCAGUUUUUAAGGUUUAAAUGUCUUAACAUGUUUUCUCUCUGCUGUUUUUCCCUGAAUUGGAUGACUUUCCUUCAUGAUGUAUGAGGUAAUAUGCUCAGGUAUACAAAGAUAUACUCAGUUCUUUAUACAUACAAGUUGUAUACGGGUUGGUAUAUUCAAUAUACAAGGGUGUAUCACUCAUUUAACUUAUUAAUGUUGGCUGUUGUCGAGUCCAUUUAAUCUUUGGGCCUGUCACUGGGUCUCUGCUUGUGUGCUAAAUAUGAGUUAUAUUCGGCCCAGUCUGCUUAUUCCUGUAGGACCUAUUGGGCCUUGAAUUCUUCCUUUUUGAUAACUUGGGUUUGGAUUCGUUCUGUUUGAUAGAAAUUUGCCGGUUUUAUAUCAUCUACAUAAUUGCUUGAUUUAUAUGUCUUGUUUCGUCUAAUUAGGUACUGUUUGAGUACUUAGAAUAGAUAUUAAUCUUUAUCCCCUUCUAUGUUCCAUGUAAAACCCAUUCUGGGCCAUUUGAGCUACCUUUUGCAUUGAGCCCUACUGGGCCAAAGGCCCAACAACACUUCCUUUAUCGAGUCCAUAUGGCAAGGGAAGCUAAUAUUGUUUUGAAGGCCCAGUAAUGGGUGAAAAUGACUUGAAGACCCAGCUAUGGGUGAAAUAGCUAAUUGGUGGGCUUAGGAAUCUGAAGAUGAACACCAAGAACGCACCAGAGCUGGAAGUUAUGAGGAAGAAUGAGGUCUCGCUUCACCGAAAGAUUCAGAAACUCGAAAAGCAAAUUUGAGCAGUCAAGGCCAAGAUCAAAGAGGCUGAUGAGUUAAUGGAUUCGGCGGAACCAAUUGAAACUCAAGGAGAGAAUGUCUUGGACAAGGGAAAAGAAAUCUUUCCCAAAUACAUCCUGAUAAUGGAGGAGUCCGAAGAGGAAGAAAUGGAAUUGGACCCGCAGGAGCCUACCUGGCCAUCAAGGGAGGCUGCCUCCGCUGCGCCAUUAAGCCCAAAAAGGGAAGGAACUUCUGUUGCGCCGUCAAGUCCUAGGGGAGAACCCAAGGAAUGAAUAGAGUAUGUCUGACCAGCCUCGCCUGAAUAGUGGGCUAUUGCGCUUAAGCGUUGGAUUGUCCCUACAGCGUCUUGCCUAAGCACAUAACGAGUGAGGAGAUGAUGAUAAAGUUUCGAGGCAAAGGGAUAGUCAGUAUCAACUUCGGCAGGUUGCCACCGUGUGCUCCGGUCUUCGCGCACAAAAGAUGCCCUUGUCACCGGGAUCAGUCAGAGGACACCAUCAACGAAUGUUUGGCCUUUAAGAGAAGGCUCAUCGAGCUGAUAGAUAAGAAAAGUAUCACCAAGAUGUGGGGCCUGUUGACAUCUAAGUUUUGACCUCCCGUAAUUUGUUUUAAUCACUCAGAAUCCCCGGAUAAUAAAUAAAGGAGCUGAGCAUUUUUAAGUCUUAAAUGAUUUUAAUAAAUUGUCCAUAUCAAUAUUUUCCCCCCUUAAAUUAACAAAAAGGGAUUUUCAUGCAUCAUAAAUUUUAUUUAGAGAUUAAUGAGCAUUUUUCAUGAUAUUCUUUUUAUGUUUAAUUAAAAAAGGAAAGGAGAGAUAGAGGAAGGGUUCUUAUUUAAUUAUUUAAAAAAUACUUCUUUCCUUUUUAUUUCAACCUUGAAAAUUUGAAUAAUUUAAAUAAUUUAAGUAAUUAACUAUUUAACCUUUUAAACUUCUGAUUUUUAUAUAAUUUGCAUGAUUUGUCAAAAUAGGCAUAAUUUCCCUUAAAUGUUUUAAUUAGGCUAAUUAAUUAAUUAAGUGAUAAUUACUGCAAAAUUGAUCCUUUUAUAUAGACAUAUUUUUUGCCUUGGCCAGAAUUAAUUUAAUCAGUUGAUAAUUUAAAGAAAUUAGGGUUGUUUUGCAAAAUCAGUCUGUUAACAUUUGAUUUGAAAUAAUAGGUUUAAUUUAAUUUUCAAAAUUGAUUAAAAAGGCCAUAAUUGAAAUAAUUAUGCUAGGCUAAUUAAUUAAGGCCAUUUUAGGCCCAUUAACAAAUUUGACCAACUUUUUAAAAAUUAUUUUAAUCAAAUAAUUACAGCCUAAUUUUUCCCGUAAUUAAAACUUUCUCCAAUUUUAAUGUUAUUUCUAAUUAUUUGUUUUUAGGGAUUAGAUAAACCCAAUGUAUACACAUAUAUAUGAAAUAUAUAUGUAUACAGUUGGUGUAUACAUGAAGUUUAGGCCCCAAUUAAAUUAAAUUCGAAUUUGGACCGAGUCCAGCCCAAGCCAGGCUAUGACCCGGCCCAAUCCCUUUUAAUUAAACGAUUAGUAUACCCCCCCCCCCCCCCCCCCCAAAAAAAAAAAAAAAAAACGCCCCAUUUUCAUUUUUUCUUUCCCUCCUACUAGUUUCUCUCUCUCUCUCUCUCUCUCUCUCGCCUUUCUCAUGAAACCCUAGUAGCUGCCUAGGUUUUCCCCGCCUCUUUCAUGCCUAAAAUGGCAUAUUUAUAGACCUGGGCUGACUCGCACAACAUUUGCAUGGUUAUUGUGGUGAAAAGGUUAAAGUAUUACUCGUUUUUCCUGUUCUUACUCCCCAUUAUGGUAACGAAUGCUUACUUUACCUGUUUUUUUUCCCAAAUAUUUUGCCAAGAUCGUCAUUAUCGUUACUUUAAAGUUUAUUUUUUCUUGCAUUAUUACUAUUGGUUCGUGCUUAUUGGGUCAGAUCUGACCGUGUGUUGGCUUGCCUUAAGAUCUGGGUCGUUGAUUAGGUGUUACUGAGUUUGAUUGUAAAAAAAAAACAAAGAGGUUUUGUCCCACAUCGUUGUUAUUUUGAUUUCAGUUGAACUUUGGGGUUCUAUUUUAUAGAACCCCAACCCUCGUACAAGAACAAGUUUGGGGAAGGUGAGAAAAAUAGCAAAAAAUAUAGAGAAAUUUGAGAGUAAAAAGAAGUGGAAAAACUCUGAUUUUUCGAAAAACUUCUUAGUAAAAGAAUUAAAAAAAAAAACCUAGACUGAACAGUUAGAGUUUUGUAGUUAAAAUAUUUGGUCCUUACUUCAUUUCGUUUUUCGUGUGUGUGUGGCUGGGUUGCUGAGAUUUGGAAGCACAGAGGCUCCCAAAUCCGUUCUUUUCUUGGUUGCACACCUAAAAGGUGAACCUUAAUUCAUUUCAUUUUGUUAUUUAGUAUUCUGCCUAGUUUAAAUAUGUUUGUAAGUUAGUUAUGUUUAUAUGUCUGAUGGUGCUUGUUUGCUAAAUAUGCCUUAUUUGGUUCUAUGCUUAACAUAUGCUUUAUUUGACACAAACACAGUAGGAAUUAGUGUAAAUGUUAUUGUGAAAUUCAUUUAGGAAGUAGGUUGUUUGAACCACCUAAUGGUUUUUGUUUGUUCAUGUGAUCUUAAGAUUCUUUGUUUACCAUGAAGAAGUGUGUGUGAAGUGCUUAUGAAAGUCCCUUUUCCUUUCCUAUCUUUCUUGAAUGUUUUGUUAGUUCGUUGAUUAUGAUCCGAAGUAGAGUCAACAUAGGAAGUUCAAUUUAUUUUUAAAGAAAAGAGAUGAGACAGUCUAUGUGUUGGUAUAGAUGAAUGUGAGUGAUUUGCUGGUAGUGUGUGCUUGUGAUUACAGUUAAGUCUCAUACUUUGUUAAUCAGUCAUGAACUGCCCCUAUUGUGAAGUGAAAUCUUUUGUCAAAGUCUUAACUGGGCUGUUUGAAAUUGAAUAGUUGGUUGGGACACAACUCCUGAUGUGUUCUCUUUCUUUUGAAAAAUAAGUAAAUAAAUGAACACUUAGAUAGAAUGUGAACCUAUUUGCUGAAUCUCUGAACAUCUAAUAGUAUGUUACCUUAUUUCUUCUUUCCUUUCCUCUUAAAUGAUCUUGCUCACUUAGAAUAGAGUAAGACAAGAUACGUCAAUGGUUUGUUUGUUUGUUUGUCAAUUAAUACUAAAACAAAGGAGUAUCAGGUUCAUGUUUUAAGCUUGUAGUUGUUUAUGGCAGUAUUUGUGGUUGUGUUAUCAUCUAAUGCAGGAUAGACAAUGUGUAAUCACCUGUGAUUUUUGGCAAAUAUGUGCCAAUUUUCCAUGACUUAUAGUAAAUUCUAGAACCAUUAUGAUUAAGGCAUUUGAGUGUGAAUUCUGUUUCCCUUUUUUUUUUUUUUUUUUGGUUUGAGGCUGGUUUUCUUGACUGAAUUUGUUGCCUAUACACAUGGUGUUCAUAACCUGCUAUGUUGGCUUAUGUCACAAGUCUUUCACCUAAGAAUAGUCUACUCCUAAAUGUACAGAGUUUGAUAAAAGGGGAAAAGUGAAAAUGGAAAGAAGUGAUUAACUAUAGGAACUAUAGGAUUAAGUCGUCAUUUAAAGACUGAUUAGGGUUAACCUAGUUGACAAUGGGCAAAUAGGUUGGUUGUCAACCUGUAGUUUAGUCAUGAUCAUGUUGAAACUGAAAAAGUAUAAAAAAUAGAAUGAAAUGGUGUCUAAGAGAGUGGCCUGUUCUCUUAUUGGUGAUUUCUUCUUGUUGAUUCUGCCCUAUCAGUGAUUUUACUUAAAGGGAGAAGUAAAUUUAUUAUAAAAAAUAGACUGAUAUGCUAUGCUCUUGCAUCUGUGUUGCUUUUCAUCCAUGUAUGGGUCUUAAUUUGGUAAGUGAUCAUAAGUGUUCCAAUUUUAUGAGUUUAAGUGUUAAAAGAAGAAUGAAAGGAAACAACUUGGUUUUGAUUUGUCUAAGUCUUGAACAGUUUGGGGACUAAGGCUUUUGCCUUGAGACAUGAAUCCUUUCUCUGCUUCCCUGUGUGUAUAAGUGGUUGAUGUAAUAAUAAUAGCCCCUAGUUUUCAAGCUGACUAGGCUUAAAGAUGGACACAGAUAGGGAGAACAACUUUAUGAUGCUAGUCUAAGUAAAAGAAGAGCAUGAAGGAAUAGAAAAGAAGAAAACAGUAUUUGAGAACUUAAGAAAAGCAUUUGUCUUUGAUCUGUAAACUGUCCAGUCUCUUUUAGUAUGUGAAAGAGGGUAAUAAAAGAUCAUAUGUGUAGGGGUUGAGGUUGAAAACCACUUGGCUAGGUAGGGAAGGUCUUUUAAAGACAUCUUAGGAGAGGAUUGAGAAAGGGUCAAGCAUUGCUUGACCCAUAGUAUCUUUUUUCCCAAAAUAAAAGAUAUUCAUGGCAUCUCUCUCAAGCCUAUGGGGGUAUAACCUCCUACCUUUGCAUUUUAGUGUUUCCUUGUCAUUCUAUUGAGGUUAUUGAAUCCUAAAAGAUGAAAUUUCUUUACACUUGUUAGUUGUUCACUAGGACUGAUUGGCCUGGCUUUGUUGUAUUUGUCCUGAUGUGUCUUAAGAAAAUGUUUGGAUCAGUUGGAUGAUGUAUGAUGAUUUAGAAAUUGUGAUAAAACUAGAAAAGGGAAAAGUUGUUUUAAAAAAGAGAAUACUGAUUGUUUUGGCAAAUAAAGUAGAAGAGUUUUUUUAUAUGAAGAUGACAUGAUAACAUAUGACAGACUCUUUGACAUUUGGUUAAGUUAGGAUCAUGAUUUAGACCCUAUGUGGAUUCUGUGUGCAUUGAUGUGGUUUUAACUUGUAUUUUUGAAAGGUGAUCUAUUGUGCCCUUAUAUCCCAAGUCCUAAUAGUGCCCUUUAAAAAUAGGGAGGUCAAUGGUUUGCAUUCAUUCAGGAUAGUCAUGUAGGCUGAGGGGUAUAUUUGACCCUUUUUCUUUGUGAUACUUUAGACAACAAGUCAUGCUUUCUUUCCAUCUUCUUCUUUGAAAUAUGUUAUGAGUCCAUUAAUCUAAAGUCCCAGUAAAAGAUAAUGCUGAACCUAAUCUGAUUAUGUUGGAAGAAUUUUUUUUCCUUCUGUGCAGCAUUAAAAGUUAGUAAAACUAUGUGAUGCUUGUCUAGUUUUGAAAAAAUGAAGAUUAAGAUAAGGCCACAACUAAGUUACGUGCAUCCCUUUACAAUCAAUUUAGACCUUUCUGCAAAUGAGAUAGAAUCAAGAGUAAAGGUUAGGAAAAUUCUAAACUCUGAACUUAGAAAUGUGAAAUUCUUGUGCCUUUCUGGGACCUUGACUUUCCUACUUGUCUAAGUCAUGGAUAAAGGUGUAAUUGUUGUACCUGAGACUUGUACAUUCUACAUGGGAUCAUGAUGAUUUAAAGGUCUCUUGAUAGUUUGUUUUUCUACAAAAGGAUCCUAGUUUGGUUUUGAUUAUUGCUUGUGUCUUGAAAUGGGUUAUGUGAGGAGUAAUAUAGUAUCAUACUAAUAAAGGGUUGUUCCAUUUUAAAAGAACUCUGAUUUUCACCUACUUGGUUUUUGUUAUACUAUACCUGUUAAGAUUACAAUUUGGUUCCCUCUAUUUAUUUUUUAUCUUCCCUAGAGGAAUCAUUUAAACUUUGGAACAUAAUCUCUAAAAAAUGGCAAGAGAUCUUCACUUGAAUUGCCCAUAAAAUGUCCAGGCUCAUUCGAGGGUUAUAUUUAGAUAGUUCUACAUAUACUUCAUGCAUAACAAACCUGUUGUGAUUGUACUAUACUUAGAGGAUGGUUUUCCUUAUCCUUGUGUAUCUCUAUACUUUACCACAUCUACUUGAUUCAAUAUUGUCCAGAAUUGUAUUGUUUCCAUGUGACUGUCACUGCUGUGAUUACUUGGUUUAAGUUCAGUCUAGGGCACACUAUGCCUAUACAGAUUGCUUUCAUUUUCAUGCUCAAGUCACUUCAUUUCUUCCCUAUUUGUUUCGUCUAUUCUUGUUGGCUGAUAGUUGUUCCAUACACAUGUAUAUUGGGCCUAUCCUAUUUAUUCUGAGCUAUGUGUGUGUGUAUGUGGAUCUGUGUAAAGGGGGGUCUAGUUUGAACCCUUCCCUGGUGACCAGUCAUGCUAGAGGUUCAUCAAACCUCUUGGAACUUGUGUGGCAUCAGGAACAAAGGGGGGGGGGGGGGGGUGAUGACUUGGCCUUCAACCACCUAGUUUGGUAUUUUGAGUUUGAGGACAUGGAACACACAUAUGCCUCUGACAUGAGCUUAUGAAUAAAUAGGCUAUGUUUCUUAUAUGUGUGUAUAUUUAUGUAUAGAAUGGGAUUUAUAAACGGUAAUGUGUUAUGUAUAUUAUGUGCAUAUAUCAUAUGUAUGAUAGGAACAGUAAAAUAUUAACUAACCGGGGUCUUUUGUUUUUCCCCUCUCUACUGCAUGGCUACUUGGGCCGAA
RNA transcript from Lycium barbarum (goji berry), 8771 nucleotides. RefSeq lists it as uncharacterized. The record is from RefSeq and is a predicted model, not a curated record. NCBI's taxonomy places the organism in Eukaryota, Viridiplantae, Streptophyta, Magnoliopsida, Solanales, Solanaceae. The transcript is spliced from 2 exons.